CCAAGUCCGCAGUUCUUCCAGUUUGGCUGUUCUGGCAAUAUAUUUACAAUUUGCUUUGAAAUACGCUAGUUAGUUCAGUGGUAACAAAACAGCCUUAUAAUUUGGAAGCCUUGGUGUGAUUACCACCUCUAUAUAUACCAGUGCUAUAUAUACACCUACGUCAAAUCCUCAGAUUAUAAUGUCACUCUAUCCCCUUUUUAUAAUUGUAAACCACUGCGAAAUAUGUUGGCGAUUAUAUACAU
Non-coding RNA from Pelobates cultripes (western spadefoot toad), 242 nucleotides. NCBI's taxonomy places the organism in Eukaryota, Metazoa, Chordata, Amphibia, Anura, Pelobatidae. The record is from the annotation of a GenBank genome assembly.